This 410-nucleotide ribosomal RNA is filed under the name uncultured bacterium. Its description in RNAcentral is "bacterial SSU rRNA". It matches the Rfam family "Bacterial small subunit ribosomal RNA", at positions 370 to 772 of the family's 1533-position model. The record is from RNAcentral.
AAUGGGGGCAACCCUGAUCCAGCCAUGCCGCGUGAGUGAAGAAGGCCUUCGGGUUGUAAAGCUCUUUCGGCGGGGAAGAAAUGGCAACGGCUAAUAUCCGUUGUUGAUGACGGUACCCGCAUAAGAAGCACCGGCUAACUACGUGCCAUCAGCCGCGGUAAUACGGAGGGUGCGCGCGUUAAUCGGAAUUACUGGGCGUAAAGCGUGCGCAGGCGGUUUUGUAAGACAGGCGUGAAAUCCCCGGGCGCAACCUGGGAACUGCGCUUGUGACUGCAAGACUAGAGUACGGCAGAGGGGGGUGGAAUUCCACGUGUAGCAGUGAAAUGCGUAGAGAUGUGGAGGAACACCAAUGGCGAAGGCAGCCCCCUGGGUCGAUACUGACGCUCAUGCACGAAAGCGUGGGGAGCAAA